This 400-nucleotide ribosomal RNA is filed under the name uncultured bacterium. Its description in RNAcentral is "bacterial SSU rRNA". It matches the Rfam family "Bacterial small subunit ribosomal RNA", at positions 355 to 746 of the family's 1533-position model. The record is from RNAcentral.
UGGGGAAUAUUGCGCAAUGGGGGAAACCCUGACGCAGCAACGCCGCGUGAGUGAUGAAGGUUUUCGAAUCGUAAAGCUCUGUCAGGCGGGAAGAAUCGAUCGAAUCCCAAUACGAAUCGAUCUUGACGGUACCGCCAAAGGAAGCACCGGCUAACUCCGUGCCAGCAGCCGCGGUAAUACGGAGGGUGCAAGCGUUGUUCGGAAUUAUUGGGCGUAAAGAGCGUGUAGGCGGUCUGGUAAGUCAGGUGUGAAAGCCCUUAGCUCAACUAAGGAAUGUCAUCUGAUACUGCCGGACUUGAGUACGGGAGAGGAGAGUGGAAUUCCCGGUGUAGAGGUGAAAUUCGUAGAUAUCGGGAGGAACACCCGUGGCGAAGGCGACUCUCUGGACCGAUACUGACGC